UAGGGAAUAUUAGAAAUGGACGAAAGUCUGAUCUAGCAACACCGCGUGCGCGAAGAAGGCCUUCGGGUCGUAAAGCACUUUUUGGAAGGAAUAGGAAGGAAUGUACUUCCAGAAUAAGUCUCGGCUAACUACGUGCCAGCAGCCGCGGUAACACGUAGGAGGCGAACGUUAUCCGGAUUUACUGGGCGUAAAGCCCGUGUAGGUGGUUCUGUAAGUAGGGCGUGAAAGCUCCUGGCUCAACUGGGAGAGGCCGUUCUAAACUACAGAACUAGAGGAUGGUAGAGGGAGGUGGAAUUCCAGGUGUAGCGGUGGAAUGCGCAGAUAUCUGGAGGAACACCAGUGGCGAAGGCGGCCUCCUGGACCAUUCCUGACACUCAGACGCGAAAGCUAGGGUAGCAAACG
Molecule: ribosomal RNA, 402 nt
Filed under: uncultured prokaryote
Description: bacterial SSU rRNA
Rfam family: Bacterial small subunit ribosomal RNA
Source: RNAcentral